AAUGAACGUUGGCGGCGUGGAUUAGGCAUGCAAGUCGCGCGAUAAGAGUAGCAAUACUUGGACAGCGGCGAAAGGGAGAGUAAUACAUAGGUACGUACCCUUGGGACUGGGAUAGCGGCGGGAAACUGCCGGUAAUACCAGAUGACGUUUCCGAACCAAAGGUGUGAAUCCGCCUGAGGAGCGGCCUAUGUCCUAUUAGCUUGUUGGUGGGGUAACGGCCUACCAAGGCAAAGAUGGGGAUGGGGUGUGAGAGCAUGCCCCCACUCACUGGGACUGAGACACUGCCCAGACACCUACGGGUGGCUGCAGUCGAGAAUCUUCGGCAAUGGACGCAAGUCUGACCGAG
RNAcentral lists this ribosomal RNA (346 nucleotides) under uncultured bacterium. Its description in RNAcentral is "bacterial SSU rRNA". It matches the Rfam family "Bacterial small subunit ribosomal RNA", at positions 29 to 391 of the family's 1533-position model. The record is from RNAcentral.